RNAcentral lists this RNase P RNA (331 nucleotides) under Candidatus Onthenecus intestinigallinarum. RNAcentral's name for it is "RNase P RNA component class A". It matches the Rfam family "Bacterial RNase P class A". Rfam says of the family: Ribonuclease P (RNase P) is a ubiquitous endoribonuclease, found in archaea, bacteria and eukarya as well as chloroplasts and mitochondria. Its best characterised activity is the generation of mature 5'-ends of tRNAs by cleaving the 5'-leader elements of precursor-tRNAs. Lineage: Bacteria; Bacillati; Bacillota; Clostridia; Eubacteriales. The record is from RNAcentral.
CGAGGAAGCUGAACGAUCGCGUGCGCAAGCAUGAGGAAAGUCCGAGCUCCAUAGGGCAGGGUGCCGGGUAACACCCGGUGGAGGCGACUCCAAGGAAAGUGCAACAGAGAGAUACCGCACGCUUUGCGUGUAAGGAUGGAAAGGCGAGGUAAGAGCUCACCAGCGGCCUGGCGACUUGUCCGCUAUGUAAACCCCACCCGGUGCAAGAUACGAUAGAGCGCAUAUGGCGGCCCGUCAUGCUCUGAGGAUUUCGCUGGAACCUGCCGGCAACGGCAGGUCUAGAUAGAUGAUCGUUCCAGACAGAACUCGGCUUACAGGCUUCGCUCGCAAU